Molecule: ribosomal RNA, 1248 nt
Filed under: Lactiplantibacillus plantarum
Lineage: Bacteria; Bacillati; Bacillota; Bacilli; Lactobacillales; Lactobacillaceae
Description: bacterial SSU rRNA
Rfam family: Bacterial small subunit ribosomal RNA
Source: RNAcentral
GCGAACUGGUGAGUAACACGUGGGAAACCUGCCCAGAAGCGGGGGAUAACACCUGGAAACAGAUGCUAAUACCGCAUAACAACUUGGACCGCAUGGUCCGAGCUUGAAAGAUGGCUUCGGCUAUCACUUUUGGAUGGUCCCGCGGCGUAUUAGCUAGAUGGUGGGGUAACGGCUCACCAUGGCAAUGAUACGUAGCCGACCUGAGAGGGUAAUCGGCCACAUUGGGACUGAGACACGGCCCAAACUCCUACGGGAGGCAGCAGUAGGGAAUCUUCCACAAUGGACGAAAGUCUGAUGGAGCAACGCCGCGUGAGUGAAGAAGGGUUUCGGCUCGUAAAACUCUGUUGUUAAAGAAGAACAUAUCUGAGAGUAACUGUUCAGGUAUUGACGGUAUUUAACCAGAAAGCCACGGCUAACUACGUGCCAGCAGCCGCGGUAAUACGUAGGUGGCAAGCGUUGUCCGGAUUUAUUGGGCGUAAAGCGAGCGCAGGCGGUUUUUUAAGUCUGAUGUGAAAGCCUUCGGCUCAAACCGAAGAAGUGCAUCGGAAACUGGGAAACUUGAGUGCAGAAGAGGACAGUGGACUCCAUGUGUAGCGGUGAAAUGCGUAGAUAUAUGGAAGAACACCAGUGGCGAAGGCGGCUGUCUGGUCUGUAACUGACGCUGAGGCUCGAAAGUAUGGGUAGCAAACAGGAUUAGAUACCCUGGUAGUCCAUACCGUAAACGAUGAAUGCUAAGUGUUGGAGGGUUUCCGCCCUUCAGUGCUGCAGCUAACGCAUUAAGCAUUCCGCCUGGGGAGUACGGCCGCAAGGCUGAAACUCAAAGGAAUUGACGGGGGCCCGCACAAGCGGUGGAGCAUGUGGUUUAAUUCGAAGCUACGCGAAGAACCUUACCAGGUCUUGACAUACUAUGCAAAUCUAAGAGAUUAGACGUUCCCUUCGGGGACAUGGAUACAGGUGGUGCAUGGUUGUCGUCAGCUCGUGUCGUGAGAUGUUGGGUUAAGUCCCGCAACGAGCGCAACCCUUAUUAUCAGUUGCCAGCAUUUAAAGUUGGGCACUCUGGUGAGACUGCCGGUGACAAACCGGAGGAAGGUGGGGAUGACGUCAAAUCAUCAUGCCCCUUAUGACCUGGGCUACACACGUGCUACAAUGGAUGGUACAACGAGUUGCGAACUCGCGAGAGUAAGCUAAUCUCUUAAAGCCAUUCUCAGUUCGGAUUGUAGGCUGCAACUCGCCUACAUGAAGUCGGAA